RNAcentral lists this ribosomal RNA (2788 nucleotides) under Escherichia coli. RNAcentral's name for it is "bacterial LSU rRNA". It matches the Rfam family "Bacterial large subunit ribosomal RNA". The record is from RNAcentral. Lineage: Bacteria; Pseudomonadati; Pseudomonadota; Gammaproteobacteria; Enterobacterales; Enterobacteriaceae.
AGCGUACACGGUGGAUGCCCUGGCAGUCAGAGGCGAUGAAGGACGUGCUAAUCUGCGAUAAGCGUCGGUAAGGUGAUAUGAACCGUUAUAACCGGCGAUUUCCGAAUGGGGAAACCCAGUGUGUUUCGACACACUAUCAUUAACUGAAUCCAUAGGUUAAUGAGGCGAACCGGGGGAACUGAAACAUCUAAGUACCCCGAGGAAAAGAAAUCAACCGAGAUUCCCCCAGUAGCGGCGAGCGAACGGGGAGCAGCCCAGAGCCUGAAUCAGUAUGUGUGUUAGUGGAAGCGUCUGGAAAGGCGCGCGAUACAGGGUGACAGCCCCGUACACAAAAAUGCACAUAUUGUGAGCUCGAUGAGUAGGGCGGGACACGUGGUAUCCUGUCUGAAUAUGGGGGGACCAUCCUCCAAGGCUAAAUACUCCUGACUGACCGAUAGUGAACCAGUACCGUGAGGGAAAGGCGAAAAGAACCCCGGCGAGGGGAGUGAAAAAGAACCUGAAACCGUGUACGUACAAGCAGUGGGAGCACGCUUAGGCGUGUGACUGCGUACCUUUUGUAUAAUGGGUCAGCGACUUAUAUUCUGUAGCAAGGUUAACCGAAUAGGGGAGCCGAAGGGAAACCGAGUCUUAACUGGGCGUUAAGUUGCAGGGUAUAGACCCGAAACCCGGUGAUCUAGCCAUGGGCAGGUUGAAGGUUGGGUAACACUAACUGGAGGACCGAACCGACUAAUGUUGAAAAAUUAGCGGAUGACUUGUGGCUGGGGGUGAAAGGCCAAUCAAACCGGGAGAUAGCUGGUUCUCCCCGAAAGCUAUUUAGGUAGCGCCUCGUGAAUUCAUCUCCGGGGGUAGAGCACUGUUUCGGCAAGGGGGUCAUCCCGACUUACCAACCCGAUGCAAACUGCGAAUACCGGAGAAUGUUAUCACGGGAGACACACGGCGGGUGCUAACGUCCGUCGUGAAGAGGGAAACAACCCAGACCGCCAGCUAAGGUCCCAAAGUCAUGGUUAAGUGGGAAACGAUGUGGGAAGGCCCAGACAGCCAGGAUGUUGGCUUAGAAGCAGCCAUCAUUUAAAGAAAGCGUAAUAGCUCACUGGUCGAGUCGGCCUGCGCGGAAGAUGUAACGGGGCUAAACCAUGCACCGAAGCUGCGGCAGCGACACUAUGUGUUGUUGGGUAGGGGAGCGUUCUGUAAGCCUGUGAAGGUGUGCUGUGAGGCAUGCUGGAGGUAUCAGAAGUGCGAAUGCUGACAUAAGUAACGAUAAAGCGGGUGAAAAGCCCGCUCGCCGGAAGACCAAGGGUUCCUGUCCAACGUUAAUCGGGGCAGGGUGAGUCGACCCCUAAGGCGAGGCCGAAAGGCGUAGUCGAUGGGAAACAGGUUAAUAUUCCUGUACUUGGUGUUACUGCGAAGGGGGGACGGAGAAGGCUAUGUUGGCCGGGCGACGGUUGUCCCGGUUUAAGCGUGUAGGCUGGUUUUCCAGGCAAAUCCGGAAAAUCAAGGCUGAGGCGUGAUGACGAGGCACUACGGUGCUGAAGCAACAAAUGCCCUGCUUCCAGGAAAAGCCUCUAAGCAUCAGGUAACAUCAAAUCGUACCCCAAACCGACACAGGUGGUCAGGUAGAGAAUACCAAGGCGCUUGAGAGAACUCGGGUGAAGGAACUAGGCAAAAUGGUGCCGUAACUUCGGGAGAAGGCACGCUGAUAUGUAGGUGAAGUCCCUCGCGGAUGGAGCUGAAAUCAGUCGAAGAUACCAGCUGGCUGCAACUGUUUAUUAAAAACACAGCACUGUGCAAACACGAAAGUGGACGUAUACGGUGUGACGCCUGCCCGGUGCCGGAAGGUUAAUUGAUGGGGUUAGCCGCAAGGCGAAGCUCUUGAUCGAAGCCCCGGUAAACGGCGGCCGUAACUAUAACGGUCCUAAGGUAGCGAAAUUCCUUGUCGGGUAAGUUCCGACCUGCACGAAUGGCGUAAUGAUGGCCAGGCUGUCUCCACCCGAGACUCAGUGAAAUUGAACUCGCUGUGAAGAUGCAGUGUACCCGCGGCAAGACGGAAAGACCCCGUGAACCUUUACUAUAGCUUGACACUGAACAUUGAGCCUUGAUGUGUAGGAUAGGUGGGAGGCUUUGAAGUGUGGACGCCAGUCUGCAUGGAGCCGACCUUGAAAUACCACCCUUUAAUGUUUGAUGUUCUAACGUUGACCCGUAAUCCGGGUUGCGGACAGUGUCUGGUGGGUAGUUUGACUGGGGCGGUCUCCUCCUAAAGAGUAACGGAGGAGCACGAAGGUUGGCUAAUCCUGGUCGGACAUCAGGAGGUUAGUGCAAUGGCAUAAGCCAGCUUGACUGCGAGCGUGACGGCGCGAGCAGGUGCGAAAGCAGGUCAUAGUGAUCCGGUGGUUCUGAAUGGAAGGGCCAUCGCUCAACGGAUAAAAGGUACUCCGGGGAUAACAGGCUGAUACCGCCCAAGAGUUCAUAUCGACGGCGGUGUUUGGCACCUCGAUGUCGGCUCAUCACAUCCUGGGGCUGAAGUAGGUCCCAAGGGUAUGGCUGUUCGCCAUUUAAAGUGGUACGCGAGCUGGGUUUAGAACGUCGUGAGACAGUUCGGUCCCUAUCUGCCGUGGGCGCUGGAGAACUGAGGGGGGCUGCUCCUAGUACGAGAGGACCGGAGUGGACGCAUCACUGGUGUUCGGGUUGUCAUGCCAAUGGCACUGCCCGGUAGCUAAAUGCGGAAGAGAUAAGUGCUGAAAGCAUCUAAGCACGAAACUUGCCCCGAGAUGAGUUCUCCCUGACUCCUUGA